GUUCUCACUUCAGCAGCACAUAUACUAAAAUUGGAACAAUACAGAGAAGAUUUAGCACGGUCUCUGCUCAAGGGUGACACACAAAUUCAUGAUGUGUUCCAUAUUUUU
Small nuclear RNA from Cynocephalus volans (Philippine flying lemur), 108 nucleotides. The record is from RefSeq and is a predicted model, not a curated record. NCBI's taxonomy places the organism in Eukaryota, Metazoa, Chordata, Mammalia, Dermoptera, Cynocephalidae.